Molecule: ribosomal RNA, 154 nt
Filed under: Onthophagus taurus
Lineage: Eukaryota; Metazoa; Arthropoda; Insecta; Coleoptera; Scarabaeidae
Description: 5.8S ribosomal RNA
Rfam family: 5.8S ribosomal RNA
About the family: 5.8S ribosomal RNA (5.8S rRNA) is a component of the large subunit of the eukaryotic ribosome. It is transcribed by RNA polymerase I as part of the 45S precursor that also contains 18S and 28S rRNA. Functionally, it is thought that 5.8S rRNA may be involved in ribosome translocation.
Source: RNAcentral
AACCAUUGCCAGUGGAUCAUUUGGUUUGUGGAUCGAAGAAGACCGCAGCUAGCUGCGAUAAGUAACGCGAAUUGUAAGUACAUUGAGCGUGAAAUUGUCGAAUGCACAUUGCACCGUCGGGGUAAUACUCGACGGUACGUUUGGUUCAAGGUUG